This 66-nucleotide transfer RNA is filed under the name Propsilocerus akamusi. Its description in RNAcentral is "tRNA-Pro". The record is from RNAcentral. Lineage: Eukaryota; Metazoa; Arthropoda; Insecta; Diptera; Chironomidae. RNAcentral also lists the same sequence under 1 other name.
UAGGAAAUAGUUUAUAAAAAAUAUUAAUUUUGGGUAUUAAUGAUAAAGGGUUUCCUUUUUUCCUAA